AAGGGCCAUCGCUCAACGGAUAAAAGGUACUCCGGGGAUAACAGGCUGAUACCGCCCAAGAGUUCAUAUCGACGGCGGUGUUUGGCACCUCGAUGUCGGCUCAUCACAUCCUGGGGCUGAAGUAGGUCCCAAGGGUAUGGCUGUUCGCCAUUUAAAGUGGUACGCGAGCUGGGUUUAGAACGUCGUGAGACAGUUCGGUCCCUAUCUGCCGUGGGCGCUGGAGAACUGAGGGGGGCUGCUCCUAGUACGAGAGGACCGGAGUGGACGCAUCACUGGUGUUCGGGUUGUCAUGCCAAUGGCACUGCCCGGUAGCUAAAUGCGGAAGAGAUAAGUGCUGAAAGCAUCUAAGCACGAAACUUGCC
This 362-nucleotide ribosomal RNA is filed under the name Escherichia coli. Its description in RNAcentral is "partial 23S ribosomal RNA". It matches the Rfam family "Bacterial large subunit ribosomal RNA", at positions 2437 to 2798 of the family's 2925-position model. Lineage: Bacteria; Pseudomonadati; Pseudomonadota; Gammaproteobacteria; Enterobacterales; Enterobacteriaceae. The record is from RNAcentral.